This 210-nucleotide long non-coding RNA is filed under the name Lathyrus oleraceus (garden pea). RNAcentral describes it as "Pisum sativum (pea) long non-coding RNA (PSAT_LNC008569)". The record is from RNAcentral. Lineage: Eukaryota; Viridiplantae; Streptophyta; Magnoliopsida; Fabales; Fabaceae.
AAUGUAGAAAAUGAAGAACGCGGUUUUUAUUCAUAAACUUUAUGACUCUGUUUAUCAUAGAUUUUGUUUAUGCUUUCAUCUUGUUGUAUGUCAUGAGACAUUUUCAACGCAUAUUUAUUUGUCCAUUUUCAUUAAGAAAUGAGCAUUUUAUAAUCCUUUGAACACGACCGGUUGGGAAUGUAAAAUGAAGAAGAUGAAAAUGCAGAAUUU